CCUACGGGUGGCAGCAGUGAGGAAUAUUGGUCAAUGGACGAGAGUCUGAACCAGCCAAGUAGCGUGAAGGAUGACUGCCCUAUGGGUUGUAAACUUCUUUUAUAAAGGAAUAAAAUAGGGUAUGUGUACCUUUUUGUAUGUACCUUAUGAAUAAGGAUCGGCUAACUCCGUGCCAGCAGCCGCGGUAAUACGGAGGAUCCGAGCGUUAUCCGGAUUUAUUGGGUUUAAAGGGAGCGUAGGUGGGUUGUUAAGUCAGUUGUGAAAGUUUGCGGCUCAACCGUAAAAUUGCAAUUGAUACUGGCAGUCUUGAGUACAGUAGAGGUAGGCGGAAUUCGUGGUGUAGCGGUGAAAUGCUUAGAUAUCACGAAGAACUCCGAUUGCGAAGGCAGCUCACUGAACUGCAACUGACACUGAUGCUCGAAAGUGUGGGUAUCAAACAGGAUUAGAUACCCUAGUAGUC
This 460-nucleotide ribosomal RNA is filed under the name uncultured bacterium. Its description in RNAcentral is "partial 16S ribosomal RNA". It matches the Rfam family "Bacterial small subunit ribosomal RNA", at positions 338 to 795 of the family's 1533-position model. The record is from RNAcentral.